Molecule: ribosomal RNA, 580 nt
Filed under: Riemerella anatipestifer
Lineage: Bacteria; Pseudomonadati; Bacteroidota; Flavobacteriia; Flavobacteriales; Weeksellaceae
Description: bacterial SSU rRNA
Rfam family: Bacterial small subunit ribosomal RNA
Source: RNAcentral
GUUGAGGUAGCUGGAAUGAGUAGUGUAGCGGUGAAAUGCAUAGAUAUUACUCAGAACACCGAUUGCGAAGGCAGGUUACCAAGUUAUAACUGACGCUGAGGGACGAAAGCGUGGGGAGCGAACAGGAUUAGAUACCCUGGUAGUCCACGCCGUAAACGAUGCUAACUCGUUUUUGGGCUAUAUGGUUCAGAGACUAAGCGAAAGUGAUAAGUUAGCCACCUGGGGAGUACGACCGCAAGGUUGAAACUCAAAGGAAUUGACGGGGGCCCGCACAAGCGGUGGAUCAUGUGGUUUAAUUCGAUGAUACGCGAGGAACCUUACCAAGGCUUAAAUGGGAAUUGAUAGCUGUAGAAAUACGGUUUUCUUCGGACAAUUUUCAAGGUGCUGCAUGGUUGUCGUCAGCUCGUGCCGUGAGGUGUUAGGUUAAGUCCUGCAACGAGCGCAACCCCUGUCACUAGUUGCCAUCAUUAAGUUGGGGACUCUAGUGAGACUGCCUACGCAAGUAGAGAGGAAGGUGGGGAUGACGUCAAAUCAUCACGGCCCUUACGCCUUGGGCCACACACGUGAUACAUUAAGCGGC